RNAcentral lists this ribosomal RNA (349 nucleotides) under uncultured bacterium. RNAcentral's name for it is "bacterial SSU rRNA". It matches the Rfam family "Bacterial small subunit ribosomal RNA", at positions 917 to 1269 of the family's 1533-position model. The record is from RNAcentral.
GGGCCCGCACAAGCGGUGGAGCAUGUGGUUUAAUUCGAUGAUACGCGAGGAACCUUACCAGGACUUAAAUGUAAGUUGCAUGAUUCAGAAAUGAAUCUUUCUUCGGACACUUAACAAGGUGCUGCAUGGUUGUCGUCAGCUCGUGCCGUGAGGUGUCAGGUUAAGUCCUAUAACGAGCGCAACCCCUGUUGUUAGUUGCCAGCGAGUAAUGUCGGGAACUCUAGCAAGACUGCCAGUGCAAACUGUGAGGAAGGUGGGGAUGACGUCAAAUCAUCACGGCCCUUACGUCCUGGCUACACACGUGCUACAAUGGUAGGUACAAUGGGUCGCCACCCAGCGAUGGGGCGCA